UACGGAGGAGGCAAGCGUUAUCCGGAAUUAUUGGGCGUAAAGCGUCCGCAGGUGGCACUUCAAGUCUGUCGUCAAAGACUGGGGCUUAACCCUGGAAAGGCGGUGGAAACUGAAGCGCUAGAGUGCGGUAGGGGUAGAGGGAAUUCCCGGUGUAGCGGUGAAAUGCGUAGAGAUCGGGAAGAACAUCGGUGGCGAAAGCGCUCUACUGGACCGCAACUGACACUCAGGGACGAAAGCUGGGGGAGCGAAUGGG
This 253-nucleotide ribosomal RNA is filed under the name uncultured bacterium. RNAcentral's name for it is "partial 16S ribosomal RNA". It matches the Rfam family "Bacterial small subunit ribosomal RNA", at positions 524 to 776 of the family's 1533-position model. The record is from RNAcentral.